UUACUUUGUUUAACUAGAUUAACCAAUAACCGGAUUGAAAAAUUCAAUUAUUUGAAGUAGGUUCGAGUGAAAUUUAGUUUGACUUAAAUGUGAAAACUCUAAAUGUUAGUUAUCUAAUUCAAUUUUAAAAGAAUGACAAGUUUACCACAGUACUAGCAUUGAGAAACCUGAAAAUUCUAAUCUAUUUAAUAUAUUAAAGGAUUACACGUUGAAGAGCUCACAAUCAUUCUCUAUCCUAGGUGGCACUCUAGAAUGCUUAUAUUUCUAAUUUUCUAAAUCCUUCAUAUUUCAUGCCUCUUAAAUCCAAAAAAUCCAAA
This 317-nucleotide long non-coding RNA is filed under the name Salvia miltiorrhiza (redroot sage). RNAcentral describes it as "long non-coding RNA (SMIL_LNC013778)". The record is from RNAcentral. Lineage: Eukaryota; Viridiplantae; Streptophyta; Magnoliopsida; Lamiales; Lamiaceae.